Lineolata rhizophorae is the source of this 108-nucleotide non-coding RNA. The record is from the annotation of a GenBank genome assembly. NCBI's taxonomy places the organism in Eukaryota, Fungi, Ascomycota, Dothideomycetes, Lineolatales, Lineolataceae.
GGCAAGGUGGCCGAGUGGUUAUGGCGCAGGUUUCAGGCUCUGAGACUUCUGCUUAGGUAAAUCCUACCUGUGGGUAAAACCGCGUGGGUUCGAAUCCCACCCUUGUCA